This 2749-nucleotide unclassified non-coding RNA is filed under the name Leishmania donovani. Its description in RNAcentral is "gene:LdHU3.32.3860(CDS-product:tubulin-tyrosine_l igase-like_protein)". Lineage: Eukaryota; Euglenozoa; Kinetoplastea; Trypanosomatida; Trypanosomatidae. The record is from RNAcentral.
UGUCCCCUUCUCUUCCUCCUCGUCUUUCUUAUUUCUCUCUGAACUGGGACUGGGCGUUUUUUUCCUCUUUGGUCGUCUUGUCGGACUUCUCUGCCUUUUGCUGCGCGUCUCCUUUUCCGUGUCUUGUUCUCAUUUCACCCCUUGCCUCUUCAGAGCUCCAUUUUUCCCCGUGUCUCCUUCCGUCUCUUGAUGAUUCCACACUGCUAGACACCAUAAUUCCUACAGGAUUCCUCGUUGCACCAUACAAGCUACCAAGAGGUAAUUAGCAGCGCCCCGCCGCUCCGUGCUGCCUUCUCUUCAACGGCUUGUUGAUUUGCUUUUGCGUUUUCGCCUUCUUCCUCCGGGCUGUGACUGCUGUCUUGGUUUCCUUUCGAGUUUGUGUUUGUCCGGAUCUUGAAUCUGCGUUCCCUCUCCAUUGAUAUAACACCUUUUUCUAAUCUGGUUGUGGCUUCUUUUUUUUUCAUUCGCCUUGUCUGAAAGAGACACGUCGACAGGCAGUCGUGCAACUCCUCCUUACUCAUCUGUAGCAGCUCUCCACAUCUGUAAGAAUAACACCUUUCCCUUUUGCUCGACAAAAAAGUCUGAGCAGCAUCCAGCACGACAGGAAAAGGAAAACGAGCAAAUAGAGAGAACAAUAGAAAAAAAGCGGUUUCUAUCUUAAGAGUAAAGAGUAGAUUAUAGAAGACCAUACGAAAAUGAGUGCGUCUGUCAGCGAGAGACGCAACACUAGAGCGACAGCUUCCACUGCUCCCAAGCUGAACGCGCGAUAUUCGACGGUGCCCUCUGGAAAAAUGACUCCCCUUGCCUACGGGAAAAAGGAAGCGGAAAGGGAUGUGCAGCUGGCAACGUCGCCGUACUCUGCGACGAGCGGGAGGGGUGCAUCCAACGGGCCGUCCUUGAGCAGUGCCCGUCGCAGUCUUGUGUACGCCGGCACCGCAUCUUCAUCCUCACCGACAACGCAGCACGAGUCCAAGGUGGGCCGUUCGUCAAGUUUGACAGGCGGUGCCGUCUGGAGCUCAUCUCUGCGCAUCACCUCUGCGCGCGAGCGUGCAGCCACCGCACCUUUAAAACGAAUCAAGUCUGCUACGUGCACGGAGAAGCGGUGCAAAUACGUGGUGGGAACAAUGCGGCACUGCGGCUCUAUCUAUGAGGAGAUGGCGAAGCAGCUUCUGGCGACCGGCCGUUGGUCGCACCUAUCCGUCCGCCAGUGCUCUGUCACGAAAGCCCUCGUCGUCUCUGAAACGCAAAAAGAUUUGUCUGACACGAACAUGCACCUGCUCCUUGGAGAGAAGAUGCCGUGCGAGCGGGUAAUUGCAACCCGACGCUUCAUGUCGAAGCGGUACCGGAGCUGCCUCGGCGAGGGCACCAACGCGAGGCGCACCGCCUACGGUUCGCGCUCCUACACGUCCCCGGGACUCCGGAUGCCGAUGGGCAGUGGCGAUGACGGCGAGGUGCGCGUGGUGGACUUUGUGGAGAACACGCGAAGCAUUACAUUGAAGAGUUCAAUGGUGACGGCGCUGCUAAAGCACCACAACUACAACUGGAAUACGCUUGGCAACUAUCUUCCUAUGUCCUUUAAGCUGACACCGUGCCAGUCAAGCCGUGACGAGCGGCAGCAGUUGCUAGCAACAGUAAAGGGCGGUAUGCGGCUACCUCACGAGGGGGACGAGCCGUGCUUGUGGAUCGCGAAGAGCUCCGCCGGCUGCCACGGCGACAACAUCGAGAUUUUUCGCGGUGACUACCGGGGAAUUCUGAAGCUGCUGCGCUUUAUCGACAGCCAACACGGCAGUCAACCUUGGAUAGCGCAGCAGUACGUAGAUCGCCCUCUCCUUUACCACAAGCGCAAGUUCGACAUCCGGUGCUGGGCUUUGCUCCUUCGCGAUAUGUACGAGAUCUACGUGCACGAGGAGUUGGUGAUGCGCACCAGCAGCGUGCCAUACAAUCGCGAAAGCGCCACGUCCAAGACUCCCACGGGUCGGCUGGCGCACAUCACAAAUCAUUGCGUGCAGGAAACGAGCAAGAUGUACUCGUUGUACGAGGAGAGCAACGAGCUGUGGCGGGAGCACUUGGAUGGACUCAUUCGCUACAAGGGAACGGUGAGAGCUGCAAAGCUGAAGCAGGAAAAGUACACCCCUCUCUGCAGUCCGCGGCCACAGGAGCCGAACCGCGGCGACGUUCCUUACCCGACAAGGUACUCGAACGAUUCGCGGGAGUCCCUGUACCCGAUUCGCGAGGCGAACCGCAGCGACAGUACAACUGCCCCACGCCUCGUCAGCGUCCAUGAUGAGCCAACCACGAUCACGCUCGACAAUCACAUCAUGCCGCAGAUCCACUUUAUCAUUCGCGACUCGCUGCUGGCCGCACGGUCGCACGUGCCAGAUGAGCCGGCCAUCCCCCCUACCCAUACCUUUCAAGUCUUCGGAUACGAUUUUCUCAUCGACGAGAACCUCAAAGUGUGGCUCCUGGAGAUCAACGGCGCGCCGGGCGGCCCUGACCGCCUGAAGCCUGCGUUGGUGAAGGAUACAAUUGAGCUGGCUGUGGCCCCGUACUUUCCGGGUACGAUGAACCUGAAAGCAAAGCGGCACAACGGCUAUGUGCGCGUGUAUCCUUGAGGCGCGAAUGGCAUCUGUCUCACUUCAUUCCCCCUUGAGCGUGCGUGUAUGCGUGUCUCUGUGCGUGUGCAGGGUUUGCUCUGCGGCUUUCAUAGAUGCACUGAUAUGCUUCAGCUCUUCUCCCCACAAACGCGAAG